GUGCCAGCAGCCGCGGUAAUACCAGCACCCCGAGUGGUCGGGACGAUUAUUGGGCCUAAAGCAUCCGUAGCCGGUUCUGCAAGUCUUCCGUUAAAUCCAUCUGCUUAACAGAUGGGCUGCAGAGGAUACUAUAGAGCUAGGAGGCGGGAGAGGCAAGCGGUACUUAGUGGGUAGGGGUAAAAUCCGUUGAUCCACUGAAGACCACCAGUGGCGAAGGCGGCUUGCCAGAACGCACUCGACGGUGAGGGAUGAAAGCUGGGGGAGCAAACCGGAUUAGAAACCCUCGUAGUCC
This 292-nucleotide ribosomal RNA is filed under the name uncultured bacterium. RNAcentral describes it as "partial 16S ribosomal RNA". It matches the Rfam family "Archaeal small subunit ribosomal RNA", at positions 455 to 747 of the family's 1478-position model. The record is from RNAcentral.